RNAcentral lists this ribosomal RNA (460 nucleotides) under uncultured bacterium. RNAcentral describes it as "partial 16S ribosomal RNA". It matches the Rfam family "Bacterial small subunit ribosomal RNA", at positions 338 to 795 of the family's 1533-position model. The record is from RNAcentral.
CCUACGGGAGGCUGCAGUGAGGAAUAUUGGUCAAUGGACGCAAGUCUGAACCAACCAUGCCGCGUGCAGGAAGACGGCUCUAUGAGUUGUAAACUGCUUUUGUACGAGGGUAAACGCGGAUACGCGUAUCUGUCUGAAAGUAUCGUACGAAUAAGGAUCGGCUAACUCCGUGCCAGCAGCCGCGGUAAUACGGAGGAUUCAAGCGUUAUCCGGAUUUAUUGGGUUUAAAGGGUGCGUAGGCGGUCGGAUAAGUUAGAGGUGAAAUCCCGAGGCUCAACUGCGGAAUUGCCUCUGAUACUGUUCGGAUAGAGAGUAGUAGCGGUAGGCGGAAUGUAUGGUGUAGCGGUGAAAUGCUUAGAGAUCGUACAGAACACCGAUUGCGAAGGCAGCUUACCAAGCUACUUCUGACGUUGAGGCACGAAAGCGUGGGGAGCAAACAGGAUUAGAUACCCCAGUAGUC